RNAcentral lists this ribosomal RNA (468 nucleotides) under uncultured bacterium. Its description in RNAcentral is "partial 16S ribosomal RNA". It matches the Rfam family "Bacterial small subunit ribosomal RNA", at positions 28 to 507 of the family's 1533-position model. The record is from RNAcentral.
GACGAACGCUGGCGGCGUGCUUAACACAUGCAAGUCGAACGGAAAGGCCCUGCUUUUGUGGGGUGCUCGAGUGGCGAACGGGUGAGUAACACGUGAGUAACCUGCCCUUGACUUUGGGAUAACUUCAGGCAACUUGUGCUAAUACCGGAUAGGAGCUCCUGCUGCAUGGUGGGGGUUGGAAAGUUUCGGCGGUUGGGGAUGGACUCGCGGCUUAUCAGCUUGUUGGUGGGGUAGUGGCUUACCAAGGCUUUGACGGGUAGCCGGCCUGAGAGGGUGACCGGCCACAUUGGGAAUGAGAUACGGCACAGACUCCUACGGGAGGCAGCAGUGGGGAAUAUUGCACAAUGGGAGGAAGCCUGAUGCAGCAACGCCGCGUGCGGGAUGACGGCCUUCGGGUUGUAAACCGCUUUCGCCUGUGACGAAGCGUGAGUGACGGUAAUGGGUAAAGAAGCACCGGCUAACUACGUG